This 1080-nucleotide long non-coding RNA is filed under the name Equus caballus (horse). RNAcentral's name for it is "lncRNA (ENSECAG00000057828.1)". The record is from RNAcentral. Lineage: Eukaryota; Metazoa; Chordata; Mammalia; Perissodactyla; Equidae.
AGUGGAAGGAGGGAGUGGGCAACAGGUGGCCUCACGUCUUGAUGACAGAUGGAAAAUAAGGGGCGUGGCCACACCCAGGGACAGUGCUGGGAUGGAGCGGCUGCUUUAUGAGGUGGUGACCUUCCUGUGCUCUCAGCCGCCUGGUAGAGCCAGCUGCUAACAGUCAGAAGGAGACUGAGGAUGAAGGGAUGUGACCAGGGAAUGAGAGAGUUCUAGUUCAGCGUUUCUCAGACGCGGCCCCUCCAGAUGGUCUGAGGCUCAGCUCUGCUCCGGACUCAUGUUUAUACGAUGACAUCAUCAAUAUUUUUUCUGGAUGAAUUAAUAAUCUGCCUGCCAUUGUAUUUUGGAAAAACCAGACAUCACCUCAUGGACGUCUCACCGAAAGGGAGUGUCAUUUAUUCCACUCAUUCUGGCAAAUUUUCUAUUUAGGUUUGGUGGCAGAAGGAAGAAGGGUUUGGAGAGGAGGCUUUUUGUCCGGUCGAAGGGUGUCACUGGUCCACAGGAUGACAAGCCCAUUCCAAGGAAUCUUCAAGAGCGAUGCCCGAUGGAGCCCAGCCACCGGGAUAAACGGUGUAAGGAGGGGCGUGUCAGCUUCCUCCUGUGUACUGUGGGGACUUCACACAGGCCUCUUCCCUUUGAGACAUGUUCUGGGACACCGAAUACUGCGGUAGCAUCUCGCUGGAACGGACCCGCGGUGGCAGCAAGUCUCUCUCUUUGCUUUUGGUAGAAAAUCAGGAUAGUUUGUAAAGAUUUCUCAGUGUGAGACUGUGUAAACCAUCCCUUUGACCAAAACCCAAACCAGACAUUCCUUUCCCUCAAAAUACCUCUUGCUGUGAAAAACUUAAAGGGAAGUCCUGUCUGAAUUCCUGGUUUGGUCCUGCAGAGACUGUCCAUGUGCUGUUAGAGAAUGACUGCCCUCUUUUUGCGCCUGUUUUAUUGAGAUAUAGUUGACCUAUAACAUUGUGUUAAAGUCUUCUACCCUUGUUUUAAGAAUUUAAAUUAUUCACACUGUCAACACCUCACAUUUGAAUAAUCCUUUAUCUGUUUUUAUCUUCUUGAUAUGAUGGGGUUGACAAGGCG